GCUUUGGGCCAUCCGUGGGGAAAUGCAAAGACUUACAGGAGCCCUGGGAAGUAAUUUGGUCACCUCUUCUCUCUGGAUGAGUGCACCAGGGGGCAGGGAACAUGGCCACAGCCAUAGCCAUAGCCUCAAUGCUGGCUGAUGUCCGCAGGGCUCCUUCUGGCUCUCCGAGAGUCUGGUCGGCUGGCUUGCACAGCUUCAAAGGAACUUCCUGUCCGAAGCUGCCUGGGGAUGACCCUGCAGAACCUGGAAUCUUAGAAUUCUAGAGCUGCCGGGGAGAUUUUGUCUCUCUCCACCCAGCUCUCACAGGUGGAAGCAAAGCAGGCAUAAGGAAAUGGAUGCCUUUCCUGAGCUCUCACAACGAGAUUAGAAGUACUUCUGAAGUUUCCAGACUCAGAAAGGUGAAACCAAGAAUGAAGUCCACCACAGACCAGGCUGCCUUCCUAGUCUGUCACCCGUACAGUUGAUUAGGGAGAUACUUACUGAGAAAUGAACCUGUGCCAGAUAGAGAAAGAAAGGGAUGCAGCCAUGGAUUCGGGACCCUGGAGGGAUACGAGAUUGGAGGCAUCAUCAGAAUUGGUUGGAGGGAUCAGGGGCUCGCUAUCCACAGGCUGGACAGGGCCCCUGACAGCUGUCUGGCC
Molecule: long non-coding RNA, 638 nt
Organism: Mustela lutreola (European mink)
Lineage: Eukaryota; Metazoa; Chordata; Mammalia; Carnivora; Mustelidae
Exons: 3
Source: RefSeq, a predicted model, not a curated record